GUUUAUCUUUCUUUAAACAUUUAAAUGAGGUUUAUGAAACAAAGUAUGUUCAAUGGAUGAAUGUACGUAAAUCGAAAGUUAAAAGAGUUUUCAUUGGGUUGUUAAGAAAACAAUAAUUGUUGGAGUUACUCAACGUUUUCUUGAUUUUAAAACGAUGAUUUCAUGAUUAAAAUGUGUCUGGCUGUUGCGGGUGGAAAAGUGGAAUUUGUAAGCAGGUGCGAACUGAUUUGAAAACAACUUUAUUUUGGUUUGAGGGUCAAUUUGACUCAAUUAAUCGUCUCAAUUUGAGGAGAAAAAGAUGGCGACCAGGCCAUUUUUCGAAUAAUGCCAAAAACGUAUUUUUCUUGUUCGCCAUGGAGCAAAUUUAAAAAGCCUGGUUGUUGAAGUUUUGUCACAGAUGUAUUAAUAAGUCAUUUAAAAAUAUAUUCAGAGAUGAUUGAGGAAUGUUUUCUCCUCGGUCAUGUUGUGUUCUGAUGUUAAGAGAAGAGAUGAUGCAGAUAGUCUGAAACGCUCCGUGUGUCUGCUCCUCUCUCCUCCACGCGCGUUGUCUGUAACUCAUGUGACAGUAACUAAAUAUAAGAGAACACGUUUAUCCUGACAGGAAGUUCACACCUGUGUAUUUAGUGGUUCUUUCUCGUGCUAGAGUUUAUAAAGGCACUCUCGUUUGGGCAUGCAUAAUGACGCCCGGAGCUCUGUGGCACAUCUGGGAACUUUUUGCCACAGCUUAUUGCAAACUAAAGGUAAGUGGGCUCCUGUUAGAAACUCCACAGUGUCCCAUCAGAGAGAAGUGUGGGGUCAAACAUGAUGUAAUGUGAGAGGAUGUUCUGAUUAUAUUUGAUGAAGGUGAAACUACAUGCUCCGAUGGAGUUCCGAUCUGUGUCUGAUUUAUGAGACUGUUACUGUGAUUGGAUGAUAAUCAUCCUCCUUCAAAUACAAACCAUCGCUGUGUUGUGAACUUAAUUUAACUUUUUCAACUGACUCUUAAGAGGCUGUUGACUCACCUUUAUGUCAAACUCAGCCUCUUCACUUCACAGCUCGAGGAUGAAGAAGGAAGAAGACGAAGGUGAAUGUGACCUGCUGACUGUUCUGCUCCUGUUCGAUUCAUUAUUAUCACAUUUUUAAUCACAUUAAUCUGUCUUCAUCCUCGUGGUGUUAUUAUUCAUCUUACUAACCAUCUUGUGUCUCUCCUCUUGUCCUACUCGGCUGCCUGAGGUCGAGUAGGAUCAGAGGACCAGUGGAGCUGCUGCCCUUCACUGCAGGUGACGACCAAUAGGAUCCGAGGACAGCAGGUGCAGAACAUUCAGAGUUUCCAUGAAGAAGAAGUGUUGAGAUCCGACCUGCAGGAGGAGCAGACAGAGACUCAUCGUUUCUGCAGGACAUCCAGGGUUACCGCAACGACGACGAAACAAAACGCCAACUGCAGAGCGGAUCAUUUUUAGAGCGACGGCCACAAGACGAGCUGCAGAGAGAAACUGAGCUGUGUUUUCAUCGUUAAGGGAAGGACUGCCGAUUCAUUUGUGACCAAACCUGGGACCCUUCAGAGAGACGAUAUCAACCAAUCAGCAUCCAGCUUCUAUUUCAACCAACCUUCUGAAAACAUCUGGUUUGGUGUUACAUUCAGUAAAACCUGCAGACCUGCAAAGAAAGAUUAUGAAUUUGGAGUUUUGUUAGACUUUGAGUAAUUUUGUGUUGAAGCAUUCAGUUUAUUAUAAAAGCUUCAACGUUUAUUUGGUUUAUUAUCGCGUUACACACAUUGUGUUGGAUCUGAACUCACCUUUAAAAUCAUCAAAGACAAAUAAUCAAACUCUCUAAAACUUUAUUCUUUAAAGAAAGUUCAAAUAAAUAUCUGUUAGAACUUAAAUAGUCUGAGAUGAUUUAUAUUAAGUUUAUUAAACUCAAUUAGAGUGAAGGUGUCAUCUUGAUGUUGGAUGUCUGGAUGCAGUUAACUAAAACAGCCAGUAGGUGGAGCUGCUGCUGCAGAGAUAACAGCUGACUCUAAGGAGCUGCGGAGGUUUGACCUUUGACCAGAUGGUGCUGCAGAGAGGUGACCCAGAGGGGGGAGAGCACGUGUCGGGUAUCGCUUCAAUCUCUGUUAAAUAACAGCAUAAGAGUGAUGCAGUGAGUUCUUCUCUCCUGACAUCUUUCCCCAGAGUCAGAGUAAGUCAUAUCAUACUCUGUAUACAUAUUGAUCAAAUAUUUUUGGCCGAUCUAUUCCACAAUCUUUCCAUUUUUCCCCUCAUUAUUACUGCACAAAUGGAGCCCUGGUGUACAGCGCCCCCUGCAGGACAACCAUUUUAGAUCAAUGUGCAUGGUCAUAUGUGCACUGCAUACAUGCAAACCUUUUCUGGCUUCAGAAUUCCCUGUUUUGAGUUAUUGUAGCGAGUUGUCUCGACGUAUUAAACAACUAAUCGAACAAAGCAGUCAGAUGUUCUGCUAAGAUCCUCUGUUGGAGGAGUUUGGUUCAACGUGUGAUUGUCUGUGACCUGUCUCUGAUGUGUUUCAAACCAGCUUAUAGUCCCUCUGACUGCGCGUAUGUCUGUACUGCAAACUCAUUGUCCUCUGUGUCAAUGUCAGAGCAGGCAGGAAGGUGACAGAGUGAUUGACAACGCCGUCUGUCCCUUUGACUGAGACAUUUUUCCAUCGAGCCGCACAGUCCGCACUGACAAUGAACACACACACACACACACACACACACACACACACACACACACACACACACACACUGUUCAUGACAUCAGAGGAGGCUUGUUUCAGACAACAGGCUGUGAUUGGCCGUCUGGAGGUUGUAGGUGUGGUCAAAGGAUCAUGAAUGGAUUCUGGGCAAAGAUGUUUAGUCAUAGCAUGGAGACCAGACACAAAGAUGGUGAUCAUUAAGUCCGAUAAGACCCGAUCACCUGAGACAUGUCACAGCGUGAUAAACACCUGCAGCCUGAUUUAUUCUUUGUGAACGUGUCUCGACUCUCUGACUUUAAUGAUGUUGUUGAAAUAGUGUUUCUCCUCCCCUGAUGUUAUAGAGAAAUCUCUUCACCUUUUGGAUUCUAUUAAAACUAAAUCUUAAUCAUUAUACUUUAGACUAAACAGAAAAUUGAAUUAACUGCUAAUAAUAAUACAAUUUAUUUAAAGGAAGAAUGUGCAACAUGUUACGCAAAUGUAUGAUAAAUCCAGUCUCUCCUGUGUAAAUGUG
Molecule: long non-coding RNA, 3184 nt
Organism: Labrus bergylta (ballan wrasse)
Lineage: Eukaryota; Metazoa; Chordata; Actinopteri; Labriformes; Labridae
Source: RefSeq, a predicted model, not a curated record